Long non-coding RNA from Phyllostomus hastatus (greater spear-nosed bat), 467 nucleotides. RefSeq lists it as uncharacterized. NCBI's taxonomy places the organism in Eukaryota, Metazoa, Chordata, Mammalia, Chiroptera, Phyllostomidae. The transcript is spliced from 2 exons. The record is from RefSeq and is a predicted model, not a curated record.
AGGCCCAAACAAAGACACUCUCAAAACUCAGAAAAAUUCCAAGGAUUUCAAGGCUACCUCCCAGGAACCAGGGGCAAAGUCCAGCCAGAAAUUCUCACCAAACAGGUAUACACAAACAGAACAAGAAAGGACAAGCUAAAGGUCACGUGAGAAGCUCAAACAGUGAGUACUCCAUGCAGUCUGGGGCAGGGUAAUGGCUGAGGACUGGGGUGUUCAGAAGACACCACGUGGAGAGGAUGAAGAUGAAGUAGCUUGUGUACUGAAGAAGGAACAGGGACAUAAAGACAGACUUCGAGUAGCUCCCAACCUCCAGUGCACAGAAGAAAGGCCGUGUGAGGACCAGUGAGAAGGCAGAUGUCUAUAAGCCAGGAAGAGAGACCUCACCACAAACUGAAUUUGUUAGCACCUUGAUUAUGGACUUCUAGUCUCCAGAACUCUGAGAAAAUAAAUGUCUGUCGUUUAAACCA